This 305-nucleotide ribosomal RNA is filed under the name uncultured bacterium. RNAcentral's name for it is "partial 16S ribosomal RNA". It matches the Rfam family "Bacterial small subunit ribosomal RNA", at positions 508 to 807 of the family's 1533-position model. The record is from RNAcentral.
ACAGCAGUCGCCGCGGGAAUACGAAGGGGGCUAGCGUUGUUCGGAAUCACUGGGCGUAAAGGGUGCGUAGGCGGAAUCUUAAGUCAGGGGUGAAAUCCCGAGGCUCAACCUCGGAACUGCCUUUGAUACUGGGGUCCUUGAGUCCGGAAGAGGUGAGUGGAACUGCGAGUGUAGAGGUGAAAUUCGUAGAUAUUCGCAAGAACACCGGUGGCGAAGGCGGCUCACUGGUCCGGAACUGACGCUGAGGCACGACAGCGUGGGGAGCAAACAGGAUUAGAUACCCCAGUAGUCCCUGUCUCUUAUAC